GCUUACGGCCAUACCAGCCUGAAAGCGCCUGAUCUCGUCAGAUCUCGGAAGCUAAGCAAGGUUGGGCCUGGUUAGUACUUGGAUGGGAGACUUCCUGGGAAUACCAGGUGCUGUAAGCA
Ribosomal RNA from Hucho hucho (huchen), 119 nucleotides. The record is from Ensembl. NCBI's taxonomy places the organism in Eukaryota, Metazoa, Chordata, Actinopteri, Salmoniformes, Salmonidae.